AGAAUCAACGCUGGCGGCGUGCCUAACACAUGCAAGUCGAACGAGAAAGUGGAGCAAUCCAUGAGUACAGUGGCGACCGGGUGAGUAACACGUGACUAACCUACCCUCGAGUGGGGAAUAACUCCGGGAAACCGGAGCUAAUACCGCAUAACAUCGCAAGAUCAAAGCCGAAAGGCGCUUGAGGAGGGGUCGCGGCUGAUUAGCUAGUUGGCGGGGUAAUGGCCCACCAAGGCUUAGAUCGGUA
Molecule: ribosomal RNA, 244 nt
Filed under: uncultured bacterium
Lineage: Bacteria
Description: partial small subunit ribosomal RNA
Rfam family: Bacterial small subunit ribosomal RNA
Source: RNAcentral